UUCCCUCAGUAACUGCGAGUGAAGUGGGAAAAGCUCAAAUUUAAAAUCUGGUAGUCUUUGGCUAUCCGAAUUGUAAUCUAGAGAAGCAUUAUCCGCGCUGGACUGUGUACAAGUCUUCUGGAAUGGAGCAUCAUAGAGGGUGAGAAUCCCGUCUUUGACACACAGACUACCAGGGCUUUGUGAUACGCUCUCAAAGAGUCGAGUUGUUUGGGAAUGCAGCUCUAAAUGGGUGGUAAAUUCCAUCUAAAGCUAAAUAUUGGCGAGAGACCGAUAGCGAACAAGUACCGUGAGGGAAAGAUGAAAAGAACUUUGGAAAGAGAGUUAAACAGUACGUGAAAUUGUUGAAAGGGAAACGCUUGAAGUCAGUUAUAUUGAUCAGAAAUCAGCCAUACUAUUUUAGUUUGGUGUAUUUUCUGUUCAGUGAGUCAGCAUCAAUUUCGAUCAGUGGAAAAAAAUUAAGGGAAUGUAGCAUCUUUGGAUGUGUUAUAGCCUUUGAUUAUAUACAUUGAUUGGAAUUGAGGAACUCAGCACGCCGAAAGGCCGAGUAGUUUACUACUACGAAUCGUGCUUAGGAUGCUGGCAUAAUGGCUUUAAUCGACCCGUCUUGAAACACGGACCAAGGAGUCUAACAUGCCUGCAAGUAUUUGGGUGGAAAACCCAAGUGCGCAAUGAAAGUGAAAGUUGGGAUCUCUGUCAUGGAGAGCACCAAUGCCCGGACCAGACCUUCUGUGACGGAUCCGCGGUUGAGCAUGUAUGUUGGGACCCGAAAGAUGGUGAACUAUGCCUGAAUAGGGYGAAGCCAGAGGAAACUCUGGUGGAGGCUCNNNNNNNUUCUGACGUGCAAAUCGAUCGUCGAAUUUGGG
RNAcentral lists this ribosomal RNA (863 nucleotides) under Entoloma atricolor. RNAcentral's name for it is "LSU rRNA". It matches the Rfam family "Eukaryotic large subunit ribosomal RNA", at positions 75 to 915 of the family's 3401-position model. Lineage: Eukaryota; Fungi; Basidiomycota; Agaricomycetes; Agaricales; Entolomataceae. The record is from RNAcentral.